This is a long non-coding RNA of Sebastes umbrosus (honeycomb rockfish), 421 nucleotides long. RefSeq lists it as uncharacterized. The transcript is spliced from 3 exons. The record is from RefSeq and is a predicted model, not a curated record. Lineage: Eukaryota; Metazoa; Chordata; Actinopteri; Perciformes; Sebastidae.
GUUCUCCAAGGCAGCCUGUCAAUUCCACAGCUCGCCCUUCAUGCCACUCAGAUAGUAGGAGCACACUUCACAAAGCCGGGAUGACAGGGAUUAGAUUUGACAUGAAAGGUGCUGGCUGGUCUGCUGCCUGGAUCACAAGCGAGCUCUGGUUACACACAAGUCAGGGCUAGAAAGAACCAGCACACAUAAUGCUCAGAGGCACUAUGGAAGGCCUCCAGAUGUUGGAUCAAUAGCCUCAUCUGUAACCAGGAGGAGCAGGAGCUCAGUAUUAUAGGGACGUUGUUGAUGGCUCACACAGGGAAACCCAGCGAGCUCACCAUUUUAUUUGCAGAUGCCACCACUGGACUUUCAGUUUGGUGCAUUAUAAUUGUUUUAAAGGUCCCAUAUUGUAAAAAGUGAAAUUUUCAGGUCUAUUAUACUA